Molecule: ribosomal RNA, 752 nt
Filed under: uncultured bacterium
Lineage: Bacteria
Description: bacterial SSU rRNA
Rfam family: Bacterial small subunit ribosomal RNA
Source: RNAcentral
AGAGUUUGAUCAUGGCUCAGAACGAACGCUGGCGGCAUGNNUAACACAUGCAAGUCGAACGUGAUCCAGGCUUCGGUCUGGUAAAAGUGGCAGACGGGUGAGUAACGCGUGGGAACCUGCCCUGUGGUAGGGAAUAACCGCGGGAAACUGCGGCUAAUACCCUAUGUGUCCUGAGGGACAAAGAUUUAUCGCCAUAGGAGGGGCCCGCGUCGGAUUAGGUAGUUGGUGGGGUAACGGCCUACCAAGCCAUCGAUCCGUAGCUGGUCUGAGAGGAUGAUCAGCCACACUGGGACUGAGAUACGGCCCAGACUCCUACGGGAGGCAGCAGUGGGGAAUAUUGGACAAUGGGGGCAACCCUGAUCCAGCAAUGCCGCGUGGAUGAUGAAGGCCUUCGGGUUGUAAAGUCCUUUCGGCGGGGAAGAUGAUGACGGUACCCGCAGAAGAAGCCCCGGCUAACUUCGUGCCAGCAGCCGCGGUAAUACGAAGGGGGCUAGCGUUGUUCGGAAUUACUGGGCGUAAAGGGCGCGUAGGCUGUGCUGCAAGUCAGGCGUGAAAGGCCCGGGCUCAACCUGGGAACUGCGCAUGAUACUGCGGCGCUUGAAGGCGGGAGAGGAUGGCGGAAUUCCCAGUGUAGAGGUGAAAUUCGUAGAUAUUGGGAAGAACACCGGUGGCGAAGGCGGCCAUCUGGCCCGUGAUUGACGCUGAGGCGCGAAGGCGUGGGGAGCAAACAGGAUUAGAUACCCCCGUAGUCC